RNAcentral lists this ribosomal RNA (440 nucleotides) under uncultured bacterium. Its description in RNAcentral is "partial 16S ribosomal RNA". It matches the Rfam family "Bacterial small subunit ribosomal RNA", at positions 338 to 795 of the family's 1533-position model. The record is from RNAcentral.
CCUACGGGAGGCAGCAGUGGGGAAUAUUGCACAAUGGGGGAAACCCUGAUGCAGCAACGCCGCGUGAGUGAAGAAGUAUCUCGGUACGUAAAGCUCUAUCAGCAGGGAAGAAAAUGACGGUACCUGACUAAGAAGCCCCGGCUAACUACGUGCCAGCAGCCGCGGUAAUACGUAGGGGGCACGCGUUAUCCGGAUUUACUGGGUGAAAAGGGAGCGUAGACGGUGUGGCAAGUCUGAAGUGAAAGCCCGGGGCUCAACCCCGGGACUGCUUUGGAAACUGUCAUGCUGGAGUGCUGGAGAGGAGAGCGGAAUUCCUAGUGUAGCGGUGAAAUGCGUAGAUAUUAGGAGGAACACCAGUGGCGAAGGCGGCUUACUGGACAGUAACUGACGUUGAGGCUCGAAAGCGUGGGGAGCAAACAGGAUUAGAUACCCUUGUAGUC